This is an RNA transcript of Rosa rugosa (rugosa rose), 4567 nucleotides long. RefSeq lists it as uncharacterized. The record is from RefSeq and is a predicted model, not a curated record. Lineage: Eukaryota; Viridiplantae; Streptophyta; Magnoliopsida; Rosales; Rosaceae. The transcript has 15 exons.
AAUCAACUGAAUGGCUCUCUACAUGAGAGUUUAGGUCAACUUUCCAGCCUUACACAUUUAGAUCUUUCUCGAAAUUCUCUGAAUGUUGUCUUAACUGAAGCCCACUUCUUGAACCUGUCUAAAUUAACUACAGUCUCUGGAUGUUUCUUAUAAUCCAGCUCUUUCUUUCCAUGUGAGCUUAAGUUGGCAUCCACCUUUUCACCUUGGUGAAUUAAAGAUGGCAUCUUGCAAGGUCGGCCCUGCUUUUCCUAAAUGGACUCUAACACAGAGAGGACUUUCUACACUUGAUUUGUCUAAUGCUGGGAUAUACCUGAUAUUUUUUGGGAUCUGCCUUGCAGCUUAUCUCUGUUAAAUCUCUCUAUCAACCAAAUCCAUGGAAAGUUUCCGAAUCUCCCAUCAAGAUACUGCGCCUUUCCUUUUAUUGACCUGAGUUCCAAUCGGUUCUCUGGUACGCUCCCACCAUUUCAUCCAGCUGUAAGAGCAUUGUGGCUCUCCAAAAACAACUUUACAGGGGACCUAUCUUCCAUAUGUUCAACUCCGGCUCCAGAUUUGUUUAUACUCGACCUUUCUGAUAAUCUGCUAUCAGGGGAGCUCCCUAAUUGUUGGGUUCAAUUUCAAGGACUGACCGCGUUGAAUUUGGCGAACAAUAGUUUCUCUGGGAAAAUACCAAGCUCAUUUGGUUCUUUAAGGUCUCUUUAUCAAUUACAAUUACAACGUAACAAUGUUUCAGGUGAACUGCCUUCUCUGGAGAACUGUACGCAGUUGGCUUUUCUUGACCUCGGAUUCAAUAACUUAUCAGGAAAGAUACAAGCAUGGAUAGGCAGCAGCCUUAAAACGUUGUGGGUUCUACAAUUAAGGUCAAACCACUUCUCUGGAAGCAUUCCCUCAAGUAUAUGCAGUCUGCCUCUCAUUCGUGUUUUGGACCUCUCUCAAAACAAUAUAUCUGGAGUAUUGCCACAUUGCCUCAACAAUUUGACAGCUUUCUCUUCGGUUUCACUGGAGGUGGAUGACUUCCCAUUUUCUUCUGAUUUUGUUUUACAACUUAUUUGGAAAGGAACAGAGAUGGAGUAUGGGAAAAACGUUAGGUAUUUGAGGAUCAUUGACAUUUCAAGCAAUAAAUUAGCUGGGGUGAUUCCGGAAAACAUAACAUAUAUGCUUGGGUUGCGUUCUCUUAACCUUUCAAGAAACAGUUUGACCGGGGUGAUUCCUGGAAAGUUUGGUCAGUUGGAGGUGCUAGAAGCUCUUGAUUUGUCAAGAAACCACCUAUCCGGUAGUAUUCCUGAUAGCUUUAGGAACUUGCAUUCUAUAGCUGUCUUGAAUUUAUCGAUCAACAACUUGUCAGGAAGAAUUCCAUCCAGCACCCAACUUCUGACUUUUACUGAAUCUUCAUUCGCUGGAAAUGUUGGACUUUGCGGGCCACCGCUAACAACAAAAUGCCCCGGAGAUAGACCGAGUGAAGAUCCAAAAGUCACUGGUGGCACUGAAAGUGAUGGUUUCAUAACACCAGGGUUUUAUGCCGGCAUAGGGAUUGGAUUCUUCACAGGAUUUGUGGGAGUCUGCCUUGCUUUACCGCCUGAGACUUCUUGGAGAUACGUACAGCAGUUUUUAAGGCAAAGAUAACUGAAGAUAAACGCUGCUGUCAUGUAUGGAGAUUAUGCGGGCCUCUGAUGUGGGUGGUUUCAGAUCCAAGGUGUCUUUGCUUUCUCUUUCAGCAAGUCAAGGUCUCAGAUGCUUGUUGGUUUGUAUUACUAUUCUGAAUAAUGGAGAACUGUCUGGGCCUAUAAGUGUAGUAGUCUUGGUCCAAGUAUGUACAAUAAUGAAAGACGUACAUGUUCUUUGAUAUGUGUUCCUGCUAUUAAGGUUUAACUAGCAUUUUAUUUUAGGAUGUUGUUUGAUUGUAAUUUGGAUUCAUGCUUUAUUUCUUCCGAUUCUAAAGCUCGAACUCCUUGUGAAUAGUGCUCCGACCAAUUAGCCUUUUCAUGUUUGUCAUAUUUACCUUUCCAUCCUAGCUUCUUUUCUUAUCAGUUCCUACUCGAAGCGGUGGUGUGAGUGGAUUAGGACUGAAGAAGAGAGAGAGAGAUCCACUUCUGGUAGCGAAGAGAAGGAGAUCGACCAAGUGGUGUAGAGUUCAUCAAACACUGGACUCUUCAUCGAUAAUCACUGUAUAUUGAAUCCCAUUUUCUCAACAACACAGCAAGCAACUCAUGUCCAUAACUUUUCCGAUCGAGUUCUAUCAUAGCAUCUCCUGUUCACUAUCAACCUAUUGUUUUCUUAUUAUUGGCUUCUCUAUAUUACUUGCAGAUUUGGUCUUCGCAUUGCAGAAAGACUCUGUUGUUAUGGACUAAGCAAGUGAGAGUUAGCUCUGGGAAUGGGAUGCCUCUUGAAGAUGGCCAUAUCUGGAGAAAAUAUGGGUAGAAGAAAAUUCUAGGAGCCAAACAUCCCAGGUAACUUUGAUUUUGAAGCAUAGGAAUUGAUCAUUUGAAGCUGUUUUAUGCCAUAUAUGUCGACAGGAACGACCAGGUGCUGUCUUAAUAUUCAUGACUGAGUGGGAGGAUAUCAGCUGUUUGGGGAUCAACUUAAACCCCAUCAUUUUACGUGAUCCCUAACAGGGUAUUGCUUAUAACCUGCCAUGGGUCAAUGGCCACAUCUGAACAGGUACCUCCAUUUUUAGUUCCAAAGGUGUUCACACAGAUAUUCUCCUUCAUCAAUGUUUAGUUAUUCAACAGCAUUCUAUUACGAUGAGACUGCUGUUUGUUUAGUAAUGGGGAAUAUGUAAAAGCUGGUUUGGCUGAAAGCAACAGAUGAGGUGCCUUGAAAUUAUUUCCACCUUGCCUUAUUGUAUUAUAAACUCUUACUGAAUAAACGAAUAUGCAGUAUGCUGGUUCAGGUUGGGAUGAACUAAGCAUAGUAGGCAAGCCUUUGGAUUCCUGGUCACAUCAAAAACCCGAAAAGACACUUGAUGAAAUAAGCCAUGACCUGUGCUCAGAAAAUGCCGAUUUCAGCUUUGGACCUGCGUCAGUAUCUAUCUCUAAGCUACUUGGAUUGCUUCCUUUCGGCCUAUGAAAUACCUAAUGGCAAAGCUUGGACUAUGCAAUUGUUGGAUGUGGCAUGUUUGCUCCUUGCGGCCAAAAUGGAGGAGUUUAAUGUCCCACUCUCCCUUUACAGGCAAAAUAUGUAUUUGAGGCUAGAGGUAUUCAAAGAAUGGAGCUACUGGUUUUGAGCACAUUGAGAUGGAGAAUGCAAGCAGUUACUCCAUUUAUUUGAACUAUUCUUAUUUAGUUGCUGAGACGUUUCUAAGAAGUCAAGGAAGAGGAGAAAACUGAGUGAGAAGGAAACAGAAAAUAAGCUCUCAGGAGAGCAUGGUACCGUUCAGAAAGAAACUGACAUCUCCAAUGGUGAACAAGCAACAGAUAUGAGUGUAACUGAGAAGAGAAGCCUAGACACGAGUUCUAAUGGGAAACAAGACGCCAGCAUCCCUGGCCAACCUGAUGAAGGCAAAAACUCUCUGUUGGGGACAGAAAACUUCCCGGGCAGUCAGGCACAGUUAGAUCACAAAAAUUCUGGUGAUGCGAAUGGUGUUCUUUGUUCUAGUACAGGUGACUCUUCUGGUGAUGAGCAAGUAGCUGCAACUGCCGAAGUUGAUUUUAAGGUGUCAAGUUUGGUUUCUGCCUUUUCAAACAACAGCAUCAUCCAGAAAUUGUGUUGGUUGCUUAAGUUCUAUAAGAGUAACUUGAUCAGAACAAAUCACUACAUAGUAUGCAUGUUGUGAAGGAUCAGUGAAGACCUGGAGCUCUCUCCAAUGCUGUAUCAGUUAUCACUCCUCACUAUAUUCUAUGAUAUCCUAGCUGAGCAGAAUUCAUCUCCUUGCAACGAUGAAAACAUUGUUGGUUUCUUGAAAAGUUUGGUCAGGAAAAUGCUAAAAAAAAUGAAACAACGUGGAAAUUCUCUUCUGGAAGACUCGCAAAGAGUGUCAUUACAUUAAUGCUGAAUAUUUAUUGCAUGAGCUUGGCCAAUUGAGGAAUGAAAGUAGGAACUGGGGAGAUACUAUAGAGGAUGGAGGUAUGGGUCGAUCAAUGGACAAGGGAUGGACAGGUAGAAAUCUAGCAGAUGCACUUGGUGAAGAUGAAGCUGAUGUUGUGCUCAAUUUUGGACAUAACAACAAUGAAGAAAAUCUUGGAAAAGUGGAAGGAGGUGCUGCAUUUACUUCAGAUAAUGAGAUUGAUGGGAAAGAAGAUUAUGACAACGGGGGCCAGUCCAUGAAAACUGAAACCGGAAGGGGUCCUCUAAAAAAGAAAAGACUUGUUAUUGGAGAUGAAGAUUAAGGGUCUGUAUGAGAAAUUCAAGGACAACCACAAUUGUAGUCACCUUAUUGCUGAAGCUCUUGAUCCUGAUGGGAAAAUUUCAUCAACUCAAAUUUCCAACAAGCUUAAGCAGCUUGGACUCAAAGUUGCACGAAGGAAAAGAUUGCGCCAUGCACAGGAAUCUGUUUCUGCAGCCCAGUCAAACUGAUGGAGAUGGAGAGGAAACAGUUAUUACUCAUCAUGAAUCAAAAACUCGGCCUUUGUAA